AUAUUUACCUGGCUGGGGAGGUAUCCUGAUCACUAAGGUGGUUUUCCUAGGGUUGGUUCACCCAUUGUGCUUGUGGAUUUGCUGAUUCCCACAAUUUCCCCAAAUAUAGAAAAUUCAACUGCUUAAUUUCUGUUGUGGGGGACUUCAUUCUCUCCCUC
Myodes glareolus (Bank vole) is the source of this 158-nucleotide small nuclear RNA. RefSeq annotates it as U1 spliceosomal RNA. The record is from RefSeq and is a predicted model, not a curated record. NCBI's taxonomy places the organism in Eukaryota, Metazoa, Chordata, Mammalia, Rodentia, Cricetidae.